Long non-coding RNA from Ipomoea triloba (trilobed morning glory), 1079 nucleotides. RefSeq lists it as uncharacterized. NCBI's taxonomy places the organism in Eukaryota, Viridiplantae, Streptophyta, Magnoliopsida, Solanales, Convolvulaceae. The transcript has 8 exons. The record is from RefSeq and is a predicted model, not a curated record.
UUCGCCUCUUCUCUCACCACUCAUCUCUCAGAUCUUCUCAAAUCUCACAUCGCCGGUGCCCUGGGACUCACCGCUCACGACCUCAACCCUCACUCCCCUCAAUGACUCACGGCCUCACGUAGACGCGGAUCUUUCUUUGAGAGGCUUUUGGCUCUAAAAGUGGUUACGUUCAGAUAAAGUAGAACAGUUUCAUGGCAUGAUAGAUUAUCUUUUGGGCCUAGUUCGUGAUGGGAAAUUGACUUAUGAGGUUCUUUGCAAGUUUUUUGCACAAGGGGCUGUCUAAAAGGGGAGCAUUGUGAGUUCUUGCAUGAAUUGAGAGGCCUCAACUACUGGAACUACUGUCAAACAAAGUGCUAAUGACUCUAAAGAUGAGACCAGUUCUGAAGAUGAAAGUUCUGAUGAUGAGCCAUCUAAAGCUGAGUGUUAAGAAGUCUUCUACUGGGAAGGAGAGUAGUUCUGAUGAUUCCUCAUCAGAGGAGUCUAAUGAUGAAGAAGAGGAUGCGCCUUCAAAGACUCCAAAGUAGGUAAUUAGUUGUGUGUACAAAUCUGUUGCAGGCUCUUGAACUUAAUGGUCAACAGUUGUUGGGCCAAGAAGUGAAGCUUUACCUUGCUAAAGAGAGAGGAGCUUAUACUCUGAAUAGUGGGAUAUUUGAUAACUCCUUCCAGAGGAGGCAGGGGUGGAGGUGAAAGUACAACUGUGUUUGUUAAGGGGUUUGACAAGAAUGAUAUUGAAGAUAAGAUCAGGAGUGCUCUUGAGGAUCAUUUUGGUUGUAGCAAAAGUUUUAAACUAACCAAAGUUUCCAUUUUGGAGGUUGUGAAGGAUCACUUGCUGCUGUUGAUGGAUUCAACCCAACACUCUGUUGAUGGAGUUUGUCAAAUAUUGGUGUUUAGUAUUUUUUUUUAUCAUUUCUGUUGAAGGUUAAGAUGAGAGGAAUUGAUGGAUUUACCACUUGUUGCUGAAGUUUGUCAAAUAUUGGUGUUUAGUAUUUUUUUUGAUCACUUGCUAUUGCUUUUGAAUACUAUGCUCAAAUGUUAAUAUAUUAUUGAAUACUAUUGAAUGUUACAACUUAUUUUCUUUC